Molecule: microRNA precursor, 93 nt
Filed under: Microtus ochrogaster (prairie vole)
Lineage: Eukaryota; Metazoa; Chordata; Mammalia; Rodentia; Cricetidae
Description: miRNA (ENSMOCG00000010198.1)
Source: RNAcentral
AUUGUUUAUAUGUAAUGUAUAAUUAAGAAAUACAGGUUAUGGGCUGGAGAGAUGGCUCAGCCAUUAAAGGCUAGGCUCACAACCAAAAAUAUA